CAUGGUCAUAUUUGACAACCUUUGGGAACCAUUCUUGGAGGACCUAAGGGCUGCCAAGUUCCUCAGUGUCCUGGGAGUUUAUGUCAGGAUGCUGAAAGAUGGGGAGCCAAAGAAUGUGUUCUUGGCAGUAGAAGAACUCCAUCAUGGCACUGCUGUCGGACGCUGUGCAGCUCUUAAUGCCGUAUUUCAGAAAGUUGGCCUCCCAGAGUGGAAGCAGAAGUAAGUCGGCUUUGGAUCCGAUGGAGCCACAGUGAUGGUCGGGAGGCGUGGGGGGGGUCUCUACUCUACUCCGGGAAGAAGUCCCCCACCUCAUUAACAUCCAGUGCUUUGCCCAUGGACUAGAACUGGCAGCCAUGGAUGCCAUAAAUGGGGAUGAGAGAAUGAAGAAGUGACUGAGUUCCUCAAAGGCCUCUACAAACAAUACCACUAUUCGCCCAAACCCUGGAGAGAGAGCUCAAAGCGCUAAGUGGGGUCCUCCAGCAGAAGAUCUGGAAGCCGACCAAUCUGGGGGGAACAAGGUGGCUCCCAAAUGUGGAGAGAGCUCUUCAGACCCUCAUGAAGGACUACACUGUGUUGUUGGCACAUAUGGAGUACAC
Molecule: long non-coding RNA, 596 nt
Organism: Anguilla anguilla (European eel)
Lineage: Eukaryota; Metazoa; Chordata; Actinopteri; Anguilliformes; Anguillidae
Exons: 3
Source: RefSeq, a predicted model, not a curated record